CAAUCGCGUAUAUUAAAAUUGAUGCGGUUAAAGCGCUCGUAGUUGGAUUUCUGCCGAGGACGACCGGUCCACCCUUUGGGUAGGUAUCUGCCUCAUCUUCUGGGAGAGCGUAGCUGCAGCAUGGAAUAAUAAGAUAUGACCUCGGUUCUAUCUUGUUGGUCUCUCGAGCUGAGGUAACGACUAAUAUGGAUAGUUGGGGGCAUUCGUAUUUAAUUGUCAGAGGUGAAAUUCUUGGAUGUGUUAAAGACGGGCUACUGCGAAAGCAUUUGCCAAUGGCGUUUUCAUUUG
RNAcentral lists this ribosomal RNA (288 nucleotides) under uncultured eukaryote. RNAcentral's name for it is "partial 18S ribosomal RNA". It matches the Rfam family "Eukaryotic small subunit ribosomal RNA", at positions 592 to 975 of the family's 1831-position model. The record is from RNAcentral.